ACCCCAGACUCCUACGGGAGGCAGCAGUGGGGAAUAUUGCACAAUGGGCGCAAGCCUGAUGCAGCCAUGCCGCGUGUAUGAAGAAGGCCUUCGGGUUGUAAAGUACUUUCAGCGGGGAGGAAGGGGUUAAGGUUAAUAACCUUAGCCAUUGACGUUACCCGCAGAAGAAGCACCGGCUAACUCCGUGCCAGCAGCCGCGGUAAUACGGAGGGUGCAAGCGUUAAUCGGAAUUACUGGGCGUAAAGCGCACGCAGGCGGUCUGUCAAGUCGGAUGUGAAAUCCCCGGGCUCAACCUGGGAACUGCAUUCGAAACUGGCAGGCUGGAGUCUUGUAGAGGGGGGUAGAAUUCCAGGUGUAGCGGUGAAAUGCGUAGAGAUCUGGAGGAAUACCGGUGGCGAAGGCGGCCCCCUGGACAAAGACUGACGCUCAGGUGCGAAAGCGUGGGGAGCAAACAGGAUUAGAUACCCUAGUAGUA
This 475-nucleotide ribosomal RNA is filed under the name uncultured bacterium. Its description in RNAcentral is "bacterial SSU rRNA". It matches the Rfam family "Bacterial small subunit ribosomal RNA", at positions 328 to 795 of the family's 1533-position model. The record is from RNAcentral.